RNAcentral lists this transfer RNA (80 nucleotides) under Lentisphaerota bacterium. Its description in RNAcentral is "Lentisphaerae bacterium (feces metagenome) tRNA-Pro". It matches the Rfam family "tRNA". From Rfam's summary of the family: Transfer RNA (tRNA) molecules are approximately 80 nucleotides in length. Their secondary structure includes four short double-helical elements and three loops (D, anti-codon, and T loops). Lineage: Bacteria; Pseudomonadati; Lentisphaerota. The record is from RNAcentral.
CGGAGUGUAGCUCAGCCUGGUAUUAGAGCGCUUGGUUCGGGACCAAGAGGUCGCAAGUUCGAAUCUUGUCACUCCGACCA